This 60-nucleotide ribosomal RNA is filed under the name uncultured organism. Its description in RNAcentral is "partial 16S ribosomal RNA". The record is from RNAcentral.
UGCUCUUGACAUGUAUGGAAGAUCUGAGAGAUUAGAUUGUGCCUUCGGGAACCAUAACAC